UUUUGUGAUUGAAUUACCCUCAUUAUCGGAAAAAGGCAUCUCGAUUCACUAAACUUUCUAUGCGUGAGAUUCAUUCAUUCAAGAGUUCUUUUCAUGGUUUGAAAUUGUGACCUCAUGUUCACAUGACAAUCAGUUACGCCAAAAUCCCCCUUCAGUAUCCAUUUCAUUAAUUUACACUCAGAGGCGGCUUAACCCCCAAAACAUUAAAGCGGUCGCUUUAGGCCUCACAAAUUAGAGGCCCCAAAAACUACUCUUUUUAUAUGUAAUUAGAUUAUUUAUUAUAUUUAGUAUUAAAUAGUGAUAAUAAAUUUUUUCAAUCAUUUUUUGCUAUUUUGUCACGAAUCGUUAAUAACAUAAUUUAUAUUUUAUGUAGUUUUUUUUUCGGAGUAGGUUGAAAAAAUUUAAAUGAAAAUGAAA
Molecule: long non-coding RNA, 417 nt
Filed under: Nicotiana benthamiana
Lineage: Eukaryota; Viridiplantae; Streptophyta; Magnoliopsida; Solanales; Solanaceae
Description: long non-coding RNA (NBEN_LNC003997)
Source: RNAcentral